CAUUACCGAGUGCGGGCCCUCGUGGCCCAACCUCCCACCCUUGUCUCUAUACACCUGUUGCUUUGGCGGGCCCACCGGGGCCACCUGGUCGCCGGGGGACAUCUGUCCCCGGGCCCGCGCCCGCCGAAGCGCUCUGUGAACCCUGAUGAAGAUGGGCUGUCUGAGUACUAUGAAAAUUGUCAAAACUUUCAACAAUGGAUCUCUUGGUUCCGGCAUCGAUGAAGAACGCAGCGAAAUGCGAUAAGUAAUGUGAAUUGCAGAAUUCCGUGAAUCAUCGAAUCUUUGAACGCACAUUGCGCCCCCUGGCAUUCCGGGGGGCAUGCCUGUCCGAGCGUCAUUUCUGCCCUCAAGCACGGCUUGUGUUUGGGUGCGGUCCCCCCGGGGACCUGCCCGAAAGGCAGCGGCGACGUCCGUCUGGUCCUCGAGCGUAUGGGGCUUUGUCACUCGCUCGGGAAGGACUGGCGGGGGUUGGUCACCACCAAAAUUUUACCACGGUUGACCUCGGAUCAGGUAGGAGUUACCCGCUGAACUUAAGCAUAUCAAUAAGCGGAGGAAAAGAAACC
Molecule: ribosomal RNA, 563 nt
Filed under: fungal sp.
Lineage: Eukaryota; Fungi
Description: eukaryotic LSU rRNA
Rfam family: 5.8S ribosomal RNA (bases 184-337)
Source: RNAcentral